Molecule: non-coding RNA, 107 nt
Organism: Gossypium hirsutum (cotton)
Lineage: Eukaryota; Viridiplantae; Streptophyta; Magnoliopsida; Malvales; Malvaceae
Source: Rfam
AGUCCAUAGUGAGGACACAUUCUUAACAAAUCCUUAAAUCUCUCCUAUGUAUCAUAAAUAGUCUCAAUAUCAAAUUGAACAAAAGAAGAGAUAUCAUCCCUUAAAUU